GAGAGGUGCUGCAUGGCUGUCGUCAGCUCGUGUUGUGAAAUGUUGGGUUAAGUCUCGCAACGAGCGCAACCCCUAUCGUCUGUUGCCAGCAUUAAGUUGGGCACCCUGACGAGACUGCCUGGGUUAACCAGGAGGAAGGUGGGGAUGACGUCAAGUCCUCAUGGCCCUUAUGUCUAGGGCUACACACGUAAUACAAUGGCGCGUACAAAGGGGAGCGAACUCGCAAGGGGGAGCGAAUCUCAAAAAGCGCGCCUCAGUUCGGAUUGAAGUCUGCAACUCGACUUCAUGAAGUUGGAAUCGCUAGUA
Molecule: ribosomal RNA, 306 nt
Filed under: uncultured Peredibacter sp.
Lineage: Bacteria; Pseudomonadati; Bdellovibrionota; Bacteriovoracia; Bacteriovoracales; Bacteriovoracaceae
Description: bacterial SSU rRNA
Rfam family: Bacterial small subunit ribosomal RNA
Source: RNAcentral